GGAUCAAUAUGUUGGUCGUGCCUUGGUACGUACUAAUUUAUUGGUUUCUUCCUUCUGACGAACCAUGAUGUCAUUAAUUUGGUGCGCUGGGGAAGCAGGACUGUUACCUUGAAAAAAUUAGAGUGCUUAAAGCAGGCUAUCGCCUGAAUACAUUAGCAUGGAAUAAUGAAAUAGGACGGCAUGGUUCUAUUUUGUUGGUUUCUAGGAUCACCGUA
Molecule: ribosomal RNA, 215 nt
Filed under: Campeiostachys nutans
Lineage: Eukaryota; Viridiplantae; Streptophyta; Magnoliopsida; Poales; Poaceae
Description: Elymus nutans partial small subunit ribosomal RNA
Rfam family: Eukaryotic small subunit ribosomal RNA (bases 34-215)
Source: RNAcentral